GACGAACGCUGGCGGCGUGCCUAAUACAUGCAAGUCGAGCGGACUUUCAAGAAGCUUGCUUUUUGAAAGUUAGCGGCGGACGGGUGAAUAACACGUGGGCAACCUGCCUGUAAGACGGGGAUAACUCCGGGAAACCGGGGCUAAUACCGGAUAAUAUCUUUCUUCGCAUGAAGGAAGGUUGAAAGGCGGCGCAAGCUGCCGCUUGCAGAUGGGCCCGCGGCGCAUUAGCUAGUUGGUGAGGUAACGGCUCACCAAGGCGACGAUGCGUAGCCGACCGGAGAGGGGGAUCGGCCAGACGGGGACUGAGACACGGCCCAGACUCCUACGGGAGGCAGCAGUAGGGAAUCUUCCGCAAUGGACGAAAGUCUGACGGAGCAACGCCGCGUGAGCGAAGAAGGUCUUCGGAUCGUAAAGCUCUGUUGUCAGGGAAGAACAAGUACCGUUCGAAUAGGGCGGUACCUUGACGGUACCUGACCAGAAAGCCACGGCUAACUACGUGCCAGCCGCCGCAGUAA
RNAcentral lists this ribosomal RNA (515 nucleotides) under uncultured bacterium. RNAcentral's name for it is "partial 16S ribosomal RNA". It matches the Rfam family "Bacterial small subunit ribosomal RNA", at positions 28 to 523 of the family's 1533-position model. The record is from RNAcentral.